Molecule: small nucleolar RNA, 73 nt
Filed under: Callorhinchus milii (elephant shark)
Lineage: Eukaryota; Metazoa; Chordata; Chondrichthyes; Chimaeriformes; Callorhinchidae
Description: Small nucleolar RNA SNORD56 (ENSCMIG00000000166.1)
Rfam family: Small nucleolar RNA SNORD56
About the family: U56 belongs to the C/D class of snoRNA which contain the C (UGAUGA) and D (CUGA) box motifs. Most of the members of the box C/D family function in directing site-specific 2'-O-methylation of substrate RNAs.
Source: Rfam by way of RNAcentral
CUGCUAUGAUGUUUGACUAUUUUUCGUCAACAGCAUCUCACUGUGUGAAUGUUGACAACCUCAGUCUGAGCAG